RNAcentral lists this ribosomal RNA (948 nucleotides) under Triticum aestivum (bread wheat). Its description in RNAcentral is "partial small subunit ribosomal RNA". Lineage: Eukaryota; Viridiplantae; Streptophyta; Magnoliopsida; Poales; Poaceae. The record is from RNAcentral.
AUGUCGCCGCCGCCGACAAGCACCUGUGCGCGUCCGCCUCGCCGUGGAUCCGCCGGGAAGAGGGAGGGCGCCUCCCGUCGCAGCCGCCGGAAGUCCACCGUCGGCCCUGCCUCUCCUCAUCUCUGCACUGCGCCUCUCCGGAGCGGAAGGGUCACGACGCGCAGGAGCUCGUCCUCGCCGGAGUUCGAAGUAGUCGAGCAGUGCGUCUGGGUCGCAGGUCCCCGCGGUGGUGUUGCUGCUGCCCGCAGGCACGGCGGCCUCGUCCUCGACGUCCCGCUGCGCGGCGACCUGGUGCAGCACGAUGGUCUCUUCGGCGACGGCCCAGAGAAACACGACGGUCUCGUCCGUGAUAUCCUGGUGCAGCGGCGGCCUCGUCCACGGUGUCCAGCUGCAGCACGGUGGCCUCGUCCGCGACUUCCCGGAGCAGCACGACGGCCUCGUCCGCGACCGCCCGGAGCAGCACGCGGCCUCAUUCGCGGCGUCCUGCUGCACGGCAUCCGGAGCAACAUCGGCGGGGAUCUGCGGUGCCACAGCAGGGCCACCACUAACCGCAUCCACCAGCGGCGUUCGAAUCGUCACCACCAGCGGUAUAGCCCACUAACCGAAUUCGGACGGGAAUGGGACGACGGCGAGCGAAGGUGGCCGGAGGUGGGGGUGCAGGCAAGCUGGGCGGCGCUGUGGAGCUCAUCCAUCCAUGGCGCCGGGAAAAGGAGGCCUUUAGGCGGCGGCGGCUUGCAGGAUCAAAGGGAGGAGCGAGGCCACCCGCUGGAUUGGAUUGCGUUUUUCUUUUUGAUCCAGGGGGUUGUAUGUCAAUGUUUUGCCAAGUCAGCUCCUUACAGUCUGGGUCCACUUGUCAGAAAACGACUAAAUGGCCUAAAUCUUCCAAUCAGUGCUUUCUGCAAAGAGAUUACUGAGAACGCGAUGAUUUUGGACAAAAUUAGGGACUAG